RNAcentral lists this ribosomal RNA (432 nucleotides) under uncultured bacterium. RNAcentral's name for it is "partial 16S ribosomal RNA". It matches the Rfam family "Bacterial small subunit ribosomal RNA", at positions 29 to 507 of the family's 1533-position model. The record is from RNAcentral.
ACGAACGCUGGCGGCAGGCCUAACACCUGCAAGUCGAGCGGACCCUUCGGGGUUAGCGGCGGACGGGUGAGUAACGCGUGGGAAUAUGCCCUUCUCUACGGAAUAGUCCUGGGAAACUGGGGGUAAUACCGUAUACGCCCUUUGGGGGAAAGAUUUAUCGGGGAAGGAUUAGCCCGCGUUGGAUUAGGUAGUUGGUGGGGUAAUGGCCUACCAAGCCGACGAUCCAUAGCUGGUUUGAGAGGAUGAUCAGCCACACUGGGACUGAGACACGGCCCAGACUCCUACGGGAAGCAGCAGUGGGGAAUCUUAGACAAUGGGGGCAACCCUGAUCUAGCCAUGCCGCGUGAGUGAUGAAGGCCUUAGGGUUGUAAAGCUCUUUCAGCUGGGAAGAUAAUGACGGUACCAGCAGAAGAAGCCCCGGCUAACUCCGUG